CCUGCCGCGCGCGGCGGGCGGGGCGGGGGCACGGGGGGAGAGUUUGAUCCUGGCUCAGGAUGAACGCUGGCGGCGUGCUUAACACAUGCAAGUCGAACGAACCUUCGGGUUAGUGGCGGACGGGUGAGUAACGCGUGGGAAUCUGCCCUCAGGAGGGGGAUAACGGCUGGAAACGGCCGCUAAUACCCCAUAUGCCGAGAGGUGAAAUGAAUUUCGCCUGAGGAUGAGCCCGCGUCUGAUUAGCUAGUUGGUGAGGUAAGAGCUCACCAAGGCAUCGAUCAGUAGCUGGUCUGAGAGGAUGAUCAGCCACACUGGGACUGAGACACGGCCCAGACUCCUACGGGAGGCAGCAGUGGGGAAUUUUCCGCAAUGGGCGAAAGCCUGACGGAGCAACGCCGCGUGAGGGAUGAAGGCCUCUGGGCUGUAAACCUCUUUUCUCAAGGAAGAAGAUCUGACGGU
RNAcentral lists this ribosomal RNA (459 nucleotides) under uncultured bacterium. RNAcentral describes it as "bacterial SSU rRNA". It matches the Rfam family "Bacterial small subunit ribosomal RNA", at positions 1 to 476 of the family's 1533-position model. The record is from RNAcentral.